UACACACCGCCCGUCACGUCAUGGAAGUCGGCAACACUUGAAGUCGUCGAGCUAACCCGCAAGGGAGGCAGACGCCCAAGGUGGGGUCGGUGACUGGGACG
This 101-nucleotide ribosomal RNA is filed under the name uncultured bacterium. Its description in RNAcentral is "partial 16S ribosomal RNA". It matches the Rfam family "Bacterial small subunit ribosomal RNA", at positions 1384 to 1482 of the family's 1533-position model. The record is from RNAcentral.